GACGUAGGGCGCAAGCGUUGUCCGGAUUUAUUGGGCGUAAAGAGCUCGUAGGCGGCUCGUUGCGUCGGCUGUGAAAUCCCGCAGCUCAACUGUGGGCUUGCAGCCGAUACGGGCGGGCUGGAGUUCGGUAGGGGAGACUGGAAUUCCUGGUGUAGCGGUGAAAUGCGCAGAUAUCAGGAGGAACACCGGUGGCGAAGGCGGGUCUCUGGGCCGAUACUGACGCUGAUGCGCGGAAGCUAGGGGAGCAAACGGG
This 253-nucleotide ribosomal RNA is filed under the name uncultured bacterium. Its description in RNAcentral is "partial 16S ribosomal RNA". It matches the Rfam family "Bacterial small subunit ribosomal RNA", at positions 524 to 776 of the family's 1533-position model. The record is from RNAcentral.